AUUGAACGCUGGCGGCAGGCCUAACACAUGCAAGUCGAGCGACCGACGGACGGGUGAUUACUAUAUGGGGGCCUGCCCGUUAGGGAGGGAUAACUACUGGGGACGGUAGUUCAGACCGCAUACUAUUGGAUCAACGCAUAUGGGAUUAGCUAGUAGGUGAGGUACUGGCUCACCUAGGCGACGAUCCCUAGCUGGUCUGAGAGGAUGAUCAGCCACACUGGGACUGAGACACGGCCCAGACUCCUACGGGAGGCAGCAGUGGGGAAUAUUGCACAAUGGGCGCAAGCCUGAUGCAGCCAUGCCGCGUGUAUGAAGAAGGCCCUAGGGUUGUAAAGUACUUUAAGUCGGGAGGCGUUACCGACAGAAGAAGCACCGGCUAACUCCGUGCCAGCAGCCGCGGUAAUAC
This 406-nucleotide ribosomal RNA is filed under the name uncultured bacterium. RNAcentral's name for it is "partial 16S ribosomal RNA". It matches the Rfam family "Bacterial small subunit ribosomal RNA", at positions 30 to 526 of the family's 1533-position model. The record is from RNAcentral.